CCUACGGGUGGCUGCAGUGAGGAAUAUUGGUCAAUGGACGCGAGCCUGAACCAGCCAUGCAGCGUGAAGGAUGACUGCCCUAUGGGUUGUAAACUUCUUUUAUAAAGGAAUAAAGUGAGGUACGCGUGCCUUUCUGUAUGUACCUUAUGAAUAAGGAUCGGCUAACUCCGUGCCAGCAGCCGCGGUAAUACGGAGGAUCCGAGCGUUAUCCGGAUUUAUUGGGUUUAAAGGGUGCGUAGGCGGGUGGUUAAGUCAGAGGUGAAAGUUUGAGGCUCAACCGUGGAAUUGCAAUUGAUACUGGUAGGCUUGAGUGCAGUUGAGGUAGGCGGAAUGCGUGGUGUAGCGGUGAAAUGCUUAGAGAUCACAAAGAACUCCGAUUGCGAAGGCAGCUUACUAAGCUGCCACUGACAUUGAGGCACGAAAGUGUGGGGAUCAAACAGGAUUAGAUACCCUUGUAGUC
This 460-nucleotide ribosomal RNA is filed under the name uncultured bacterium. Its description in RNAcentral is "partial 16S ribosomal RNA". It matches the Rfam family "Bacterial small subunit ribosomal RNA", at positions 338 to 795 of the family's 1533-position model. The record is from RNAcentral.